This 315-nucleotide unclassified non-coding RNA is filed under the name plant metagenome. RNAcentral describes it as "partial contains 5.8S ribosomal RNA, internal transcribed spacer 2, and large subunit ribosomal RNA". The stretch from base 1 to 105 matches the Rfam family "5.8S ribosomal RNA", at positions 50 to 154 of the family's 154-position model. The record is from RNAcentral.
GAACUGCGAUAAGUAAUGUGAAUUGCAGAAUUCAGUGAAUCAUCGAGUCUUUGAACGCACAUUGCGCCCCCUGGCAUUCCGGGGGGCAUGCCUGUCCGAGCGUCAUUGCUGCCCUUCAAGCCCGGCUUGUGUGUUGGGUCGUCGUCCCCUCCGGGGGACGGGCCCGAAAGGCAGCGGCGGCACCGCGUCCGGUCCUCGAGCGUAUGGGGCUUUGUCACCCGCUCGAUAAGGACCGGCCGGGCGCCAGCCGGCGUCUCCAACCUUUUUUUCUCAGGUUGACCUCGUAUCAGGUAGGGAUACCCGCUGAACUUAAGC